Molecule: long non-coding RNA, 3939 nt
Filed under: Salmo salar (Atlantic salmon)
Lineage: Eukaryota; Metazoa; Chordata; Actinopteri; Salmoniformes; Salmonidae
Description: lncRNA (ENSSSAG00000112625.1)
Source: RNAcentral
GUUAUUUAAACAUUAUCUAAUAUAAAUAAUAUAAAAUGGCAAGUGAUAAAUUGAUUACAUCAAUUUUCCCAUUAUUAAAGUGGCUUGAGUUGAGUCAGUAUGUUGGCAGCAGCCACUCAAUGUUAGUGAUGGCUGUUUAACAGUCUGAUGGCCUUGAGAUAGCUGUUUUUCAGUCUCUCGGUCCCAGCUUUGAUGCACCUGUACUGACCUCGCCUUCUGGAAGGUAGCGGGGUGAACAGGCGGUGGCUCGGGUGGUUGCUGUCCUUGAUGAUCUUUUUGGCCUUCCUGUGACAUCGGGUGGUGUAGAUGUCCUGGAGGGCACCGGUUUUGACUAGCAGAAGUUGCUUUUCUUAGCAGGUUACGAGAAUUAACGCAGCAGGUUAGGAUAAUUAGGUAAAGAUUAGCUAAAAUGCUAACAAUGUCCUCGACGCGACUCGAACCUAUCUACAACCAGGCCUGCCUUGAGAACAGACUUGAUUUACACUAAUGCGAUGCUCUGCGUCAAAUGGUCUGUGAGGGAAGACUCUUGAGAACAUAAGCUUUCUGUUCUACUCGAGCUAUUUUAUUUUGUAUUUUCAUGGACAAGUCUAAAUAUUUUUGAGCAGCUGCUAGCUGGAGGACAUGAAAUACCAUUUGACGCCAAUACAGUGCCGGGAAUUGCUUCAGUCCUUCAACCAAAGAGGUGAGAUCUUGAUCGAUAAAUGUAUCAUAUUUAUGUCAUUGUUAUGAAAAAAGGUGCUAUCUUGAUCCUAAAAUGGUUAUUUGGCUGUCCCCAUAAGAGAACCCUUUGAAGAUCUUUUUUUGAUUCCAGCUACAUGUAUAACCCUUUUGGUUCCAGGUAGAACUCUUCUGGGUUCCAUGUAGAACCCUUUUCACAGAGGGUUCUACCUGGAACCCAAAAGGGUUCUCCUACGGGGACAGCCAAAGAACCCUUUCGGAACCCUUUUUCCUAAGAGUAUAUAUACACACACGCACAAGGUUAAAAAGGUUCUGUAAAUAGUUAGUUUGUUUGCCCUCAAAAUAAAUGGUUAAUGCUACGAGGGAGCGAGGUAUAUGCAAUAAAAGGGACUUAAAUUACAAAAAUACAUAAAACUACUAAAAUAUGCAAAUGUAUCUGUAAAUUGUUUGCUUGUCCUCUUAUGCUGGUAUGGAGUGCAGCGCGUAGCCUAACACAGUUUUUUUUUAAAGAAAAUUAAGAAUGGAUAUGAUCUGUAACAAUGGAUAGGACACGUGUCCACCUCCAAGCAUCAGUGUCCUCCAGGAACAGUGGCCUUUCCUUUUCACCAAGUUAUGGCUCUGCGACCACUUCAAUACUUGUGAUUGACAGUCACCUGACUCAAGCUCUCCUGAACAAGGGUAAGAGAAUUGUAAACUUUUUUAAAAGCCAAAAGACCAAGUUGAGGAGAGAGAUCCAGUGCCUGCUAAAUGAAACCGACAGUUACAUCAAAGGCAAUGACGAUCUAACAGCCACUGCUGCCAUUCUUUUGUUGAUGACCCAGAGGACGACGAAUCUCUGUUCCUCAUGGCAGAUGUAAUGAAUAGUGUUUUUAUGUUUAUAUGAUUAAUGGUGUUUAUACUGUACUAUUACACAUGAUUUGUAUAUAUGUACAGUUGAAGUCAGAAGUUUACAUACACCUUAGCCAAAUACAUUUAUACUCAGUUUUUCACAAUUCCUGACAUUUAAUCCUAGUUACAAUUUGCUGUUUUAGGUCGGUUAGGAUCACCACUUUAUUUUAAGAAUGUGUAAUGUCAGAUUAAUAGUAGAGAGAAUGAUUUAUUUCAGCUUUUAUUUCAUUCAUCACAUUCUCAGUGGAAGUUUACAUACACACAAUUAGUAUAUGGUAGCAUUGCCUUUAAAUUGUUUAACUUGGGUCAAACGUUUCAGGUAGCCUUCCACAAGCUUCCCACAAUAAGUUGGGUGAAUUUUGGCCCAUUCCUCCUGACAGAGCUGAUGUAACUGAGUCAGGUUUGUAGGCCUCCUUGCUGGCAUACGCUUUUUCAGUUCUGCCAACACAUUUUCUAUAGGAUUGAGGUCAGGGCUUUGUGAUGACCACUCCAAUACCUUGACUUUGUUGUCCUUAAGCCAUUUUGCAACAACUUUGGAAGUAUGCUUGGGGUCAUUGUCCAUUUGGAAGACCCAUUUGCGACCAAGCUUUAACUUCCUGACUGAUGUCUUGAGAUGUUGCUUCAAUAUAUCCACAUCAUUUUCCCACCUCAUGAUGCCAUCUAUUUUGUGCACCAGUCCCUGCUGCAGCAAAGCACCCCCACAACAUAAUGCUGCCACCCCCGUGCUUCACAGUUGGGAUGGUGUUCUUCGGCUUGCAAGCCUCCCCUUUUUCCUCCAAACAUAAUGAUUGUCAUUAUGGCCAAACAGUUCUAUUUUUGUUUCAUCAGGCCAGAGGACAUUUCUAGAAAAAGUACGAUCUUUGUCCCCAUGUGCAGUUGCAAACCGUAGUCUGGCUUUUUUAUGGGGGUUUUGGAGCAGUGGCUUCUUCCUUGCUGAGCGGCCUUUCAGGUUAUGUCAAUAUAGGGCUCGUUUUACCGUGGAUAUAAAUCCUUUUGUACCCAUUUCCUCCAGCAUCUUCACAAGGUCCUUUGCUGUUGUUCUGGGAUUGAUCUGCACUUUUCGCACCAAAGUACGUUCAUCCCUAGGAGACAGAACACGUCUCCUUCCUGAGCGGUAUGACGGCUGUGUGGUCCCAUGGUGUUUAUACUUGCGUACUAUUGUUUGUACAGAUGAACAUGGUACCUUCAGGCGUUUGGAAAUUGCUCCCAAGGAUGAACCAGACUUGUGGAGGUCUAAAUUCUUUUCUUCUGAGGUCUUGGCUGAUUUCUUUUGAUUUUCCCAUGAUGUCAAGCAAAGACGAACUGGGUUUGAAGGUAAUACGUCCACAGGUACACCUCCAAUUGACUCAAAUAAUGUCAAUUAGCCUAUCAGAAGCUUCUAAAGCCAUGACAUCAUUUUCUGGAAUUUUCCAAGCUGUUUAACUUCUGACCCACUGGAGUUGUAAAUUAUAAAUGAAAUAAUUUGUCUGUAAACAAUUGUUGGAAAAAUUAUUUGUGUCGUGUACUUUUGUGUAUUUCAGGAAAUAUUCUAUUGGGUUCCUCAAAAUGGAUGGUGUCGAUCGAGAGGAGAGUGGUCUGUGUUUUGGACAGUAAGUCCAACUUUGCUGCUGCCCUCUCUGUGCUCUUCAGCACUUUCUAUGUUUUUAACAUAGAAUAACAGGAGUUGGCCUCUGCAACCUUGGAGCUGAUAGAGGUUCCUGGUUUGAAUAAACCCUUAAGGAACCAAAUGCACAGCGAAAGCAGGAGUGAGCCGCAAGACCGGAAAGGUCGUUCAGAGGAAGUCAUUGCCAAUUGACCAAGAUGUUACACGCUUUCUCGCAGACCUGAAGGAGUUUGAUAGGAAAAACUCCAACAUAAAUCCUGCCAUGUGGGUUGGGUCAGCAAAUGAUCUGUUUGCUCCAUCCCGGAGCCUGUGUUGUCUUGAGGUAGCAUGCUUCUCUGGCUCCAGUCUAGCCCUGCUCUCUCCUCUCUAUCCACUUUUCUCUCAGCCCCUUUCUCUCUCGAUCUCUCUCUCUCUCUCGUUUCUCUCUCAACGACAGCCAGGCAAGCAGUUCUUGUUAUUGUUUUUUGUAAAAAUGUCUCCCUGUUCAACUGUUGUUUCCCUAUUUUUCAUUGAUCUGUUUAGAGAUUUUUUAAAUCUUACAUAAUCCUGUAUUUUUAAGAAUGACCUAUUCUGAUGUUUUGGUUUGUGUAUGGUGAAGUACAUUACUGACCAUUAUUUGUCAAUGUUCUUAUCAUUGUAUCUCUUUCUCUCUCUCUCCCCUACUAUCUGGAGUUGUAAUGUUGCUCUUUUCAAAUGUUGUUCUUUGUGGUUAAAGUGCAUUUCAAGUGAAAUUCUUGUUAUGAAUUUGAAUAAAUAUAUAUAUUUGUACA